AACGCACAUUGCGCCCCUUGGUAUUCCGGGGGGCAUGCCUGUUCGAGCGUCAUUAUAACCAAUCUAGCCUGGCUAGGUAUUGGACCUCGCUCUAUCGCGGGUCUUAAAAAUAGUGGCGGUGCUUUCAGGCUCUACGCGUAGUAAUUUUCUCGCUAUAGAGUCCUGGAGAGUUCUUGCCAACAACCCUUAUUUUUCUUAGGUUGACCUCGGAUCAGGUAGGGAUACCCGCUGAACUUAA
RNAcentral lists this unclassified non-coding RNA (238 nucleotides) under Glutinoglossum sp. Its description in RNAcentral is "partial contains 5.8S ribosomal RNA, internal transcribed spacer 2, and large subunit ribosomal RNA". Lineage: Eukaryota; Fungi; Ascomycota; Geoglossomycetes; Geoglossales; Geoglossaceae. The record is from RNAcentral. RNAcentral also lists the same sequence under 1 other name.